UGGAAUUGGUUUUUUUCUGAAUCGCCUAUUU
Molecule: non-coding RNA, 31 nt
Filed under: Mus musculus (house mouse)
Lineage: Eukaryota; Metazoa; Chordata; Mammalia; Rodentia; Muridae
Source: RNAcentral